Molecule: unclassified non-coding RNA, 2452 nt
Filed under: uncultured Pseudoclostridium sp.
Lineage: Bacteria; Bacillati; Bacillota; Clostridia; Eubacteriales; Oscillospiraceae
Description: partial contains 16S ribosomal RNA, 16S-23S ribosomal RNA intergenic spacer, and 23S ribosomal RNA
Rfam family: Bacterial small subunit ribosomal RNA (bases 1-1497)
Source: RNAcentral
GAUAAACGCUGGCGGCGCACAUAAGACAUGCAAGUCGAACGGACUUAACCAUUAGUUUACUAUUGGAGCGGUUAGUGGCGGACUGGUGAGUAACACGUAAGCAACCUGCCUAUCAGAGGGGAACAACAGUUAGAAAUGACUGCUAAUACCGCAUAUGCCAUGAAUAUCACAUGAUAUAAAUGGGAAAGGAGCAAUCCGCUGAUAGAUGGGCUUGCGUCUGAUUAGAUAGUUGGUGGGGUAACGGCCUACCAAGUCGACGAUCAGUAGCCGGACUGAGAGGUUGAACGGCCACAUUGGGACUGAGAUACGGCCCAGACUCCUACGGGAGGCAGCAGUCGGGAAUAUUGCGCAAUGGAGGAAACUCUGACGCAGUGACGCCGCGUGCAGGAAGAAGGUUUUCGGAUUGUAAACUGCUUUAGACAGGGAAGAUAAUGACAGUACCUGUAGAAUAAGCUCCGGCUAACUACGUGCCAGCAGCCGCGGUAAUACGUAGGGAGCAAGCGUUAUCCGGAUUUAUUGGGUGUAAAGGGUGCGUAGACGGGAAGACAAGUUGGUUGUGAAAUCCCUCGGCUUAACUGAGGAACUGCAACCAAAACUAUCUUUCUUGAGUGCUGGAGAGGAAAGUGGAAUUCCUAGUGUAGCGGUGAAAUGCGUAGAUAUUAGGAGGAACACCAGUGGCGAAGGCGACUUUCUGGACAGUAACUGACGUUGAGGCACGAAAGUGUGGGGAGCAAACAGGAUUAGAUACCCUGGUAGUCCACACCGUAAACGAUGGAUACUAGGUGUAGGGUGUGAUAAACAUUCUGUGCCGUCGCAAACGCAGUAAGUAUCCCACCUGGGGAGUACGACCGCAAGGUUGAAACUCAAAGGAAUUGACGGGGGCCCGCACAAGCAGUGGAGUAUGUGGUUUAAUUCGACGCAACGCGAAGAACCUUACCAGGGCUUGACAUAUGCAUGAAAGUCUAAGAGAUUAGACCCCUCUUCGGAGCAUGUAUACAGGUGGUGCAUGGUUGUCGUCAGCUCGUGUCGUGAGAUGUUGGGUUAAGUCCCGCAACGAGCGCAACCCCUGUUCUUAGUUGCCAGCACGUAAAGGUGGGAACUCUAAGAAGACUGCCGGUGAUAAAUCGGAGGAAGGUGGGGACGACGUCAAAUCAUCAUGCCCUUUAUGUCCUGGGCUACACACGUACUACAAUGGCUAUAACAAAGGGAAGCGAGACCGCGAGGUGGAGCAAAACCCAAAAAAGUAGUCUCAGUUCGGAUUGGAGGCUGAAAUUCGCCUCCAUGAAGCCGGAAUUGCUAGUAAUGGCAGGUCAGCAUACUGCCGUGAAUACGUUCCCGGGCCUUGUACACACCGCCCGUCACACCAUGAGAGUUGGGAAUACCCGAAGCCUGUGAGCUAACUAUUUAUAGAGGCAGCAGUCGAAGGUAGAAUCAAUGAUUGGGGUGAAGUCGUAACAAGGUAGCCGUAUCGGAAGGUGCGGCUGGAUCACCUCCUUUCUAAGGAGAAACUUUAAAGGAUUUAUUGUUUAUUUUUCAAUGUACUUUAUUAGUACAUUAAAAAAAGAGUGAAGCUCAUCAAACAAAUGAAGACAUCGAUUAGAAAGAACUCUAAUAUAUGGGCUCAUAGCUCAGAUGGUUAGAGCGCACGCCUGAUAAGCGUGAGGUCGAUGGUUCGAUUCCAUUUGAGCCCACCAACUAAAAUUUCAUAUUUUAGUAUUAGCACAUUGAAAAAUAUAUAGAUGAAAAAAUAAGGUAAACUAGAAUAAAAUGAUAAAACAUUUUAGCAUUAGUAACAAAAGUUUUAGGAUUAAAAACUGAUUGACUUUAGUAAUAACACAGUAGAAACGAGCAGUACGAGGCAAUUGAGUGAAGAGGCUUGAGAUAGUACAUUAGUACAUCGAAAGUUGAUGAACGAAAAUUAACAAAGUAAUGCGAAGUUUAUACGAAGUUAUAAGGUUAAGCUACUAAGAGCAUAGGGUGAAUGCCUUGGCACCAAGAGCCGAUGAAGGACGUGAUAAGCUGCGAAAAGCUGUGGGGAGGAGCAAAUAUCCAUUAUAUCCACAGAUAUCCGAAUGAGGGAACUCAGCUGGUGGUAAAAGACCAGUUAUCCAUACAUGAGUAAAGUAGUGUAUGUGAAGGGAACGUAGGGAACUGAAACAUCUAAGUACCUACAGGAAAAGAAAGAAAACUCGAUUCCUUGAGUAGUGGCGAGCGAAAGAGGAAGAGCCUAAACCAGAAGAAGUAAUUCAUCUGGGGUUAUGGACUACAUAAUUGAUUCAGGAGAUUUAACAGAACUGUUUGGGAAAGCAGACCAAAGAUAGUGAAAGUCUAGUAUGUGAAAAAUCAAAUGACAUGGUAGUAUCCAGAGUAGUGCGAGACACGUGGAAUCUCGUAUGAAUAAGUGGGGACCACCCCAUAAGGCUAAAUACUACUUGGUGACCGAUAGUGAAAC